RNAcentral lists this transfer RNA (71 nucleotides) under Loxodonta africana (African savanna elephant). It matches the Rfam family "tRNA". Rfam says of the family: Transfer RNA (tRNA) molecules are approximately 80 nucleotides in length. Their secondary structure includes four short double-helical elements and three loops (D, anti-codon, and T loops). Lineage: Eukaryota; Metazoa; Chordata; Mammalia; Proboscidea; Elephantidae. The record is from Rfam by way of RNAcentral.
GCCCUGGUGGCGAAAUGGUUAAGCACUUGGCUGCUAACCAAAAGCUUGUCAGUUCCAACUCACCCAGUGUC